GACGAAAGGCAUAACGUUAACUUAUCCCUGCUUCCCGAUUUCUGCCGGUUCGGGUGUUGUUUUCGCUGUUCGCUGGUAAUGCACGUGCGUACUGCUCAAGUGUGUGGUUGUAAGAUCAUCUAGAAAUCAUUUUAGGAGUUCAGGUGUUUGCAGAGUUCCACCGAAUCAACAAUGUUAACCUGCGCAAUCAAUUCUACAAGGAGCUGGACAGACACACGCCUAAACUCAUCACCUUGUUCAGAGACAAGGCCACCAAGACUGGCAAGACAGCGGAGGAGCUAGCCAAGCUCAUGAGGAUUUAUGAUCUUCAGGAACAACGUGAUGUAAAUAUGAGACGGGCC
Xyrauchen texanus (razorback sucker) is the source of this 341-nucleotide long non-coding RNA. RefSeq lists it as uncharacterized. The record is from RefSeq and is a predicted model, not a curated record. Lineage: Eukaryota; Metazoa; Chordata; Actinopteri; Cypriniformes; Catostomidae. The transcript is spliced from 4 exons.